AGAGUUUGAUCCUGGCUCAGAAUGAACGUUGGCGGCGUGGAUUAGGCAUGCAAGUCGUGCGGUAAGGCUCCUUCGGGAGUACACGAGCGGCGAAAGGGAGAGUAACGCGUGGUUCAUCUACCCUCGGGUCCGGAAUAGCGUCGGGAAACUGGCGGUAAUGCCGGAUAACAUCUUCGGAUCAAAGGUGUGAUUCCGCCUGAGGAUGAGACCGCGUCCUAUUAGCUAGUUGGUGGGGUAAAAGCCUACCAAGGCUGUGAUGGGUACCGGGUGUGAGAGCAUGGCCCGGCUCACUGGGACUGAGACACUGCCCAGACACCUACGGGUGGCUGCAGUCGAGAAUCUUCGGCAAUGGGCGAAAGCCUGACCGAGCGACGCCGCGUGUGGGACUGAAGGCCUUCGGGUUGUAAACCACUGUCAGAGGGAAGCAAAUGCAUGGUGGCUAUCCAUCAUGUUUGAGUGAUCCUCAGAGGAAGUCCGGGCUAAGUUCGUGCCAGCAGCCGCGGUAACACGAACCGGACGAACGUUAUUCGGAAUCACUGGGCUUAAAGAGUCCGUAGGCGGUCUGGUAGGUGAGAUGUGAAAUCCCCCGGCUCAACCGGGGAACUGCGUUUCAAACCAUCAGACUUGAGGAAGAUAGAGGUAAGCGGAACUAGCGGUGGAGCGGUGAAAUGCGUUGAUAUCGCUGGGAACACCAGAGGCGAAGCGCUUACUGGGUCUUUUCUGACGCUGAGGGACGAAAGCUAGGGGAGCGACGGGAUUAGAUACCC
RNAcentral lists this ribosomal RNA (767 nucleotides) under uncultured bacterium. RNAcentral describes it as "bacterial SSU rRNA". It matches the Rfam family "Bacterial small subunit ribosomal RNA", at positions 8 to 787 of the family's 1533-position model. The record is from RNAcentral.